This 577-nucleotide long non-coding RNA is filed under the name Eutrema salsugineum. RNAcentral's name for it is "long non-coding RNA (ESAL_LNC001372)". The record is from RNAcentral. Lineage: Eukaryota; Viridiplantae; Streptophyta; Magnoliopsida; Brassicales; Brassicaceae.
UUAAAUAUAUGUAAGGGAAUCACAGGUCAUUUAUACUCUCAAUCAUGUUGGUAUAUAUUUGAUUCUUCUUCUCUCUCUCUCUCUAUAUAUAUAUAUACAUAUAAACCCUUACACAUCUUUCUUAUUUUUUCAGAUAUUAAAAUGAAAAUUCCAAGGCUUUUGAGUAUAUAUGUAGUGAUGUGAUGAUGACAAGGAGAGGAUUUAUUCCAUGAACACAAAAUGGAGAAAUACUUGAAGUUGGCGCAAUCAUUUGCAUUUGUAUGGGGAUUCAUCUUGCUGGUGGCUCUCGUGUGUUGCUGCAUCAGCACCAAACCUGAUCGGGAAAACGAUGACGAUGCUAGCUGUGCCGGCUGCGACGGAGGACAUACUGCUUUUUAGUCUAGGUUUUAAUCAUCCUCUGUUUCCUUCUUUUGCUUUUGUUCUUUAGUCCUCUGGUUUUAGGGUGUUUUGGUAGAUUUGCUGUACACACAUUGACACAUAUCGUCAUGGAUUAUCAUCUUUUUUUGUCAAUUGUCAUAAUUCGUUGGUUACGAACUUACGCAUAACCAUUUUUGUAAUUUUCUUUUUUUAAAUAUAG